AUUGAACGCUGGCGGCAGGCCUAACACAUGCAAGUCGAACGGUAACAGGAAGCAGCUUGCUGCUUCGCUGACGAGUGGCGGACGGGUGAGUAAUGUCUGGGAAACUGCCUGAUGGAGGGGGAUAACUACUGGAAACGGUAGCUAAUACCGCAUAACGUCGCAAGACCAAAGAGGGGGACCUUAGGGCCUCUUGCCAUCGGAUGUGCCCAGAUGGGAUUAGCUAGUAGGUGGGGUAACGGCUCACCUAGGCGACGAUCCCUAGCUGGUCUGAGAGGAUGACCAGCCACGCUGGAACUGAGACACGGUCCAGACUCCUACGGGAGGCAGCAGUGGGGAAUAUUGCACAAUGGGCGCAAGCCUGAUGCAGCCAUGCCGCGUGUAUGAAGAAGGCCUUCGGGUUGUAAAGUACUUUCAGCGGGGAGGAAGGGAGUAAAGUUAAUACCUUUGCUCAUUGACGUUACCCGCAGAAGAAGCACCGGCUAACUCCGUG
RNAcentral lists this ribosomal RNA (490 nucleotides) under uncultured bacterium. Its description in RNAcentral is "partial 16S ribosomal RNA". It matches the Rfam family "Bacterial small subunit ribosomal RNA", at positions 30 to 507 of the family's 1533-position model. The record is from RNAcentral.